RNAcentral lists this long non-coding RNA (1104 nucleotides) under Sander lucioperca (pikeperch). RNAcentral's name for it is "lncRNA (ENSSLUG00000019005.1)". Lineage: Eukaryota; Metazoa; Chordata; Actinopteri; Perciformes; Percidae. The record is from RNAcentral.
CCCAGGUAUUGAUCCUAAUGGCACUUUACAAGUGAAUGAAUCUGAAAAUGUUUUCUGCAGGGUAAAAUGUAAUACUAGUACUAUUCCAGUUAUAAUCAACAAUAGACCAUACAAAGUGUUGAAUCCCCUAAGUAAUAAGGAGUUGACUGCAAACAUAGUCAAUUUAGCAUCCAGUUCACGUCAGCCACAGGUAACCAAAAAAGGGGCAAUACUUAACAACCUAAUUGGAAUUACAACUACCACUGCAAUGAUAGAACAGGAUAGGAAAAUUAGAUGCGGUCUACUAAAUAUCAGAUCUCUGUCUUCUAAAGCAAUACUAGUAAACAAAUUGAUAUCCGAUAAUCAAAUUGAUCUAUUCUGUCUAACUGAAACCUGGCUGGGCCAUGAAGAUUAUGUCAGUCUAAAUGAAGCCACUCCUCCCACUCAUAUUAAUACUCAAAUUCCUAGAGGCUCAGGCCGAGGAGGGGGAGUUGCAGCCAUAUUUGACUCUAACCUGUUAAUUAAUCCUAAACCUAAACUAAAUUAUAACUCUUUUGAAAAUCUCGUUCUUAACCUUCAGCAUCCAACAUGGAAAACAGUACAGCCUAUUAUAUUUGUUGUUGUCUACCGAGCACCAGGUCCAUAUUGUGAAUUUUUAUCGGAAUUCUCAGAGUUUUUAUCAUGUGUAGUCCUAAAAUCAGACAAAGUACUUAUUGUAGGUGAUUUUAAUAUCCAUGUGGACGUUGACAGCAAUAGCCUUAGUACUGCUUUCAACUCACUACUAGAUUCAAUUGGUUUCAGUCAGAGUGUGCAUGAGGCCACGCACUGUUUUAACCACACCCUCGACCUUGUGCUGGCAUAUGGCAUCAAAAUUGAAGACGUAAUAGUAUUCCCGCAAAAUCCUUUAUUAUCAGACCACUUCUUAAUAACUUUCGAAUUCUUACUACCCGAUUAUACGAAAUUAGAUAAAAGCUUCUACGCUAGAAGCCUAUCUGACAGUGCUAUAGCUAAAUUUAAGGAAGAUAUUCCAACAGCACUAAACUCAUUAACGUGCCGUAAUAUAACAGAGGAUCUUUAUGUAAACUUUAGUCCCUCUCAAAUUGAUCAUUUCGUAGACGAUGCUAC